CAGCAGCCGCGGUAAUACAGAGGGUGCGAGCGUUAAUCGGAUUUACUGGGCGUAAAGCGUGCGUAGGCGGCUUCUUAAGUCGGAUGUGAAAUCCCUGAGCUUAACUUAGAAAUUGCAUUCGAUACUGGGAAGCUAGAGUAUGGGAGAGGAUGGUAGAAUUCCAGGUGUAGCGGUGAAAUGCGUAGAGAUCUGGAGGAAUACCGAUGGCGAAGGCAGCCAUCUGGCCUAAUACUGACGCUGAGGUACGAAAGCAUGGGGAGCAAACAGGAUUAGAUACCCCAGUAGUCCCUGUCUCUUAUAC
RNAcentral lists this ribosomal RNA (301 nucleotides) under uncultured bacterium. RNAcentral's name for it is "partial 16S ribosomal RNA". It matches the Rfam family "Bacterial small subunit ribosomal RNA", at positions 509 to 807 of the family's 1533-position model. The record is from RNAcentral.